Molecule: ribosomal RNA, 677 nt
Filed under: uncultured bacterium
Lineage: Bacteria
Description: bacterial SSU rRNA
Rfam family: Bacterial small subunit ribosomal RNA
Source: RNAcentral
AAGUUUGAUCCUGGCUCAAAUUGAACUCUGGUGGCAUGCCUUACACAUGCAAGUCGAACGGCAGCACGGGUACUUGUACCUGGUGGCGAGUGGCGAACGGGUGAGUAAUACAUCGGAACGUACCUUAUCGUGGGGGAUAACGCAGCGAAAGCUGUGCUAAUACCGCAUACGCCCUUAGGGGGAAAGCGGGGGAUCGCAAGACCUCGCGCGAUUAGAGCGGCCGAUGCCUGAUUAGCUUGUUGGUGGGGUAAAAGCCCACCAAGGCGACGAUCAGUAGCUGGUCUGAGAGGACGAUCAGCCACACUGGGACUGAGACACGGCCCAGACUCCUACGGGAGGCAGCAGUGGGGAAUUUUGGACAAUGGGGGAAACCCUGAUCCAGCAAUGCCGCGUGAGUGAAGAAGGCCUUCGGGUUGUAAAGCUCUUUUGUCAGGGAAGAAACACCGGCUCUAACACAGUCCGGGAAUGACGGUACCUGAAGAAUAAGCACCGGCUAACUACGUGCCAGCAGCCGCGGUAAUACGUAGGGUGCAAGCGUUAAUCGGAAUUACUGGGCGUAAAGCGUGCGCAGGCGGUUAUACAAGACAGGCGUGAAAUCCCCGGCUUAACCUGGGAAUGGCGCCUGUGACUGUAUAGCUAGAGUGUGUUAGAGGGGGGUAGAAUUCCACGUGUAGCAG